RNAcentral lists this ribosomal RNA (664 nucleotides) under uncultured archaeon. RNAcentral's name for it is "bacterial SSU rRNA". It matches the Rfam family "Archaeal small subunit ribosomal RNA", at positions 691 to 1353 of the family's 1478-position model. The record is from RNAcentral.
CCGACGGUGAGGGGUGAAAGCUGGGGGAGCAAACCGGAUUAGAUACCCGGGUAGUCCCAGCUGUAAACGAUGCAAACUCGAUGAUGCGUUGGCUUGUUGCUAGCGCAGUGUCGCAGGGAAGCCGUUAAGUUUGCCGCCUGGGAAGUACGUACGCAAGUAUGAAACUUAAAGGAAUUGGCGGGGGAGCACCACAAGGGGUGAAGCCUGCGGUUCAAUUGGAGUCAACGCCUGAAACCUUACCCGGAGAGACAGCAGAAUGAAGGUCAAGCUGAAGACUUUACCAGACAAGCUGAGAGGUGGUGCAUGGCCGUCGCCAGCUCGUGCCGUGAGAUGUCCUGUUAAGUCAGGUAACGAGCGAGAUCCCUGCCUCUAGUUGCCACCAUUACUCUCAGGAGUAGUGGGGCGAAUUAGCGGGACCGCCGCAGUUAAUGCGGAGGAAGGAAGGGGCCACGGCAGGUCAGUAUGCCCCGAAACUCUGGGGCCACACGCGGGCUGCAAUGGUAACGACAAUUGGUUUCGAAUCCGAAAGGAUGAGGUAAUCCUCAAACGUUACCACAGUUAUGACUGAGGGCUGCAACUCGCCCUCAUGAAUAUGGAAUCCCUAGUAACCGCGUGUCAUUAUCGCGCAGUGAAUACGUCCCUGCUCCUUGCACACACCGCCCGU